Molecule: ribosomal RNA, 253 nt
Filed under: uncultured bacterium
Lineage: Bacteria
Description: partial 16S ribosomal RNA
Rfam family: Bacterial small subunit ribosomal RNA
Source: RNAcentral
GACGUAGGGCGCGAGCGUUGUCCGGAUUUAUUGGGCGUAAAGCGCGUGUAGGCGGCUCGGUAAGUCUGCUCUGAAAGUCCAAGGCUCAACCUUGGGAUGCGGGUGGAUACUGCCGGGCUCGAGUCCGGAAGAGGCGAGUGGAAUUCCUGGUGUAGCGGUGAAAUGCGCAGAUAUCAGGAGGAACACCAAUGGCGAAGGCAGCUCGCUGGGACGUGACUGACGCUGAGACGCGAAAGCGUGGGGAGCAAACAGG